UAGGGAAUCUUCCGCAAUGGGCGAAAGCCUGACGGAGCAACGCCGCGUGAGUGAUGAAGGUCUUCGGAUCGUAAAACUCUGUUAUUAGGGAAGAACAUAUGUGUAAGUAACUGUGCACAUCUUGACGGUACCUAAUCAGAAAGCCACGGCUAACUACGUGCCAGCAGCCGCGGUAAUACGUAGGUGGCAAGCGUUAUCCGGAAUUAUUGGGCGUAAAGCGCGCGUAGGCGGUUUUUUAAGUCUGAUGUGAAAGCCCACGGCUCAACCGUGGAGGGUCAUUGGAAACUGGAAAACUUGAGUGCAGAAGAGGAAAGUGGAAUUCCAUGUGUAGCGGUGAAAUGCGCAGAGAUAUGGAGGAACACCAGUGGCGAAGGCGACUUUCUGGUCUGUAACUGACGCUGAUGUGCGAAAGCGUGGGGAUCAAACAGG
RNAcentral lists this ribosomal RNA (429 nucleotides) under uncultured bacterium. RNAcentral describes it as "bacterial SSU rRNA". It matches the Rfam family "Bacterial small subunit ribosomal RNA", at positions 355 to 776 of the family's 1533-position model. The record is from RNAcentral.